UACGUAGGGGGCUAGCGUUGUCCGGAAUUAUUGGGCGUAAAGAGCGCGUAGGCGGCCAGAUAAGUCCGGUGUGAAAGUCACAGGCUCAACCUGUGAAUGCCGCUGGAAACUGUCUGGCUAGAGUCCGGAAGGGGCGAGUGGAAUUCCUGGUGUAGCGGUGAAAUGCGCAGAUAUCAGGAGGAACACCAAUGGCGAAGGCAGCUCGCUGGGACGGUACUGACGCUGAGGCGCGAAAGCGUGGGGAGCGAACAGG
Molecule: ribosomal RNA, 253 nt
Filed under: uncultured bacterium
Lineage: Bacteria
Description: partial 16S ribosomal RNA
Rfam family: Bacterial small subunit ribosomal RNA
Source: RNAcentral